This is a long non-coding RNA of Phacochoerus africanus (Common warthog), 1010 nucleotides long. RefSeq lists it as uncharacterized. The transcript is spliced from 3 exons. NCBI's taxonomy places the organism in Eukaryota, Metazoa, Chordata, Mammalia, Artiodactyla, Suidae. The record is from RefSeq and is a predicted model, not a curated record.
UCAGCUCUGCAAUCCAAUAUGAGAAAGGCGGAGCCAAUGCUGCUCUUAGAUGUGCCUCAGACUCAAUCAGUAGCUUGUUAAAAACAGAUGCCUAAGCCCUCGCCUCAAAGCUACAGAACGACGCCCUGCAGGGCCCUAUGGGGCCCACGAUGCUCCUGAGGCUUUCCAGCCUGGUUCAGCUGAUCUCAGAGCAUCCAGCCCUAACUUUCAAGGGGUUUAUGAUGCUGCCGAGAGGCCAAGUCGAGCCCACGCUCUAGGGCACCCUGCCCAGCGCAGGCGCAGGUUGUGCGCAUGAGUGAGGCAGGCAGGCGGGCGGUGCCAAGAAGAGUGAGGUCUUGACACAGCCGCCCGGACGCCGCUGCCUCCCCCACCUCCCCGGGACCCCCCCAGGCAGUGGCGGCGCAUUGGGGACGCAGGCCUGGUGUGGACCGACCUUCGGAACCUUCAAGGAACUGUUCUCAGGCAUCCCUGGAGCACAUGUCUAAUUCUGAGGAAGCGCGAGUCAGAUGUGGGCUUGGUGCUCACGUACCUCUACAAACAGGAUGGGGAAAAUGCCGACUUUAUCUCCUAUCUUGCCUUCCGCCCAGUUCUCAUCCACUCGGCUGAUCACAGUGAUGAUAUCGUCCUGGAAGACAGAAAGUCUCCUGGUCAGCCGUGAUUCUCAGUUCUCAGACUGCUGGCUCCGUGAGGAAAGUGGCAAUGACUCAUCACUGUGUCCACAGUGGCUGGCCUGGCACGUGGCUGGAUUCAGUGGAUGAACAAGCAGGUGGGGUAAGUGUCUCAGCGUGCAGAUUCCCAGAGAGGAGCUGAAAGGCAGAUAAUGCUUUUCCUGCCUGUGUCCUCCUCCUGCUGCAUCCUUAGAGCCCAGUGUCCAAUGCCUGGCACAGAGCAGACACUCAAUACAUGUUCGUGGGAUUGAACUGCCCUCCUCCAGCUGUAGUCAAAGUAUAAAAUUUGCAGUUCAGGCAUUUCCCCUGUGGUGCAACAGGUUAAGGAUCUGACAUUGUCAC